CCUUACCUACCCUUGACAUGUCUGGAAGGCCGAAGAGAUUUGGCUGUGCUCGCAAGAGAACCGGAACACAGGUGCUGCAUGGCUGUCGUCAGCUCGUGUCGUGAGAUGUUGGGUUAAGUCCCGCAACGAGCGCAACCCUUGUCAUUAGUUGCUACGAAAGGGCACUCUAAUGAGACUGCCGGUGACAAACCGGAGGAAGGUGGGGAUGACGUCAAGUCCUCAUGGCCCUUAUGGGUAGGGCUUCACACGUCAUACAAUGGUCGGGACAGAGGGUCGCCAACCCGCGAGGGGGGAGCCAAUCCCAGAAACCCGAUCGUAGUCCGGAUCGCAGUCUGCAACUCGACUGCGUGAAGUCGGAAUCGCUAGUAAUCGCGGAUCAGCAUGUCGCGGUGAAUACGUUCCCGGGUCUUGUACACACCGCCCGUCACACCAUGGGAGUGGGUUUUACCAGAAGUAGUUAGCCUAACCGCAAGGAGGGCGAUUACCACGGUAGGAUUCAUGACUGGGGUGAAGUCGUAACAAGGUAAGCGUAGUGCU
This 537-nucleotide ribosomal RNA is filed under the name uncultured bacterium. RNAcentral's name for it is "bacterial SSU rRNA". It matches the Rfam family "Bacterial small subunit ribosomal RNA", at positions 969 to 1509 of the family's 1533-position model. The record is from RNAcentral.